RNAcentral lists this ribosomal RNA (500 nucleotides) under uncultured bacterium. RNAcentral's name for it is "partial 16S ribosomal RNA". It matches the Rfam family "Bacterial small subunit ribosomal RNA", at positions 30 to 523 of the family's 1533-position model. The record is from RNAcentral.
AUUGAACGCUGGCGGCAGGCCUAACACAUGCAAGUCGAGCGGAUGAGAGGGGCUUGCUCCUCGAUUCAGCGGCGGACGGGUGAGUAAUGCCUAGGAAUCUGCCUAGUAGUGGGGGACAACGUUUCGAAAGGAACGCUAAUACCGCAUACGUCCUACGGGAGAAAGUGGGGGAUCUUCGGACCUCACGCUAUUAGGUGAGCCUAGGUCGGAUUAGCUAGUUGGUAGGGUAAAGGCCUACCAAGGCGACGAUCCGUAACUGGUCUGAGAGGAUGAUCAGUAACACGGGAACUGAGACACGGUCCAGGCUCCUACGGGAGGCAGCAGUGGGGAAUAUUGGACAAUGGGCGAAAGCCUGAUCCAGCCAUGCCGCGUGUGUGAAGAAGGCCUUCGGGUCGUAAAGCACUUUAAGUUGGGAGGAAGGGCUCAUAGCGAAUACCUGUGAGUUUUGACGUUACCAACAGAAUAAGCACCGGCUAACUUCGUGCCAGCCGCCGCCGUAA